Molecule: ribosomal RNA, 201 nt
Filed under: Citrobacter sp. Cpo085
Lineage: Bacteria; Pseudomonadati; Pseudomonadota; Gammaproteobacteria; Enterobacterales; Enterobacteriaceae
Description: partial 23S ribosomal RNA
Rfam family: Bacterial large subunit ribosomal RNA
Source: RNAcentral
UCCCCCAGUAGCGGCGAGCGAACGGGGAGCAGCCCAGAGUCUGAAUCAGCAUGUGUGUUAGUGGAAGCGUCUGGAAAGUCGCACGAUACAGGGUGAAAGUCCCGUACACAAAAGUGCAUGUGUUGUGAACUCGAAGAGUAGGGCGGGACACGUGGUAUCCUGUCUGAAUAUGGGGGGACCAUCCUCCAAGGCUAAAUACUC